This is a long non-coding RNA of Thamnophis elegans (Western terrestrial garter snake), 455 nucleotides long. RefSeq lists it as uncharacterized. Lineage: Eukaryota; Metazoa; Chordata; Lepidosauria; Squamata; Natricidae. The record is from RefSeq and is a predicted model, not a curated record. The transcript has 4 exons.
UAUUGAUUCCAUAAUAAUACUUGCCACAGUCAGAAUCCUCGAUUUUAGGCUACACGAAUGCGCAUGAUUCAUUGGCUUCGAAAGGAUUAGUACCUAAUCAAUAUCCUUAAUAAUUUAUGAGUUUAUAACCUUGGAAAGAUGAAGCUUCAUUGUUCAAGAAGUCUUCCAGACAAUGCAUAGGCUAUAAAUAUUUAAAUAAAUACUUGUGGGGCAGACUCAUCUCUGAAUAUAUCCCAUCUUUUCCAGUGAAGACAAUAUGUUGGAAGUUCAAAGAACUGGGGAAUCUGCAGAUAGCCAAGUGAAACUUUGCAGAUCAGGCAAGACGUAGAGAACCUGUGCCCUCAGAUGUUCUAUAACUCCCAGCAUCCCUCACCGAGUGGCCCUUCGACGGCGUGCAUCCCGGAACAACUCACAGUUGGUUUCUGGAUCACUCUCCCUUGUCUCCUCCCUACUGA